This 246-nucleotide ribosomal RNA is filed under the name unidentified alpha proteobacterium groupC. RNAcentral's name for it is "partial 16S small subunit ribosomal RNA". It matches the Rfam family "Bacterial small subunit ribosomal RNA", at positions 1106 to 1373 of the family's 1533-position model. The record is from RNAcentral. Lineage: Bacteria; Pseudomonadati; Pseudomonadota; Alphaproteobacteria.
CAUCUUUGAUUGCCAGCAGGUUAAGCUGGGCACUCUAGAGAAACUGCCCGUGAUAAGCGGGAGGAAGGUGUGGAUGACGUCAAGUCCUCAUGGCCCUUACGGGUUGGGCUACACACGUGCUACAAUGGCAGUGACAAUGGGUUAAUCCCAAAAAGCUGUCUCAGUUCGGAUUGGGGUCUGCAACUCGACCCCAUGAAGUCGGAAUCGCUAGUAAUCGCGUAACAGCAUGACGCGGUGAAUAUGUUC